RNAcentral lists this long non-coding RNA (241 nucleotides) under Homo sapiens (human). RNAcentral's name for it is "HSALNT0357430". The record is from RNAcentral. Lineage: Eukaryota; Metazoa; Chordata; Mammalia; Primates; Hominidae.
AAAAAGAGAGUUUCAAAUCUGCUCUAUCUAAAGGAAGGUUCAACUCUGUGAGUUGAAUACACACAACACAAAGUAGUUACUGAGAAUUCUUCUGUCUAGCAUUAUAUGAAGAAAUCCCGUUUCCAACGAAGGCCUCAAAGAAGUCCAAAUAUGCACUUGCAGACUUUACAAACAGAGUGUUUCCAAACUGCUCUAUGAAAAGAAAGGUUAAACUCUGUGAGUUGAACACACACAUCACAAA